This 742-nucleotide ribosomal RNA is filed under the name Staphylococcus aureus. RNAcentral describes it as "bacterial SSU rRNA". It matches the Rfam family "Bacterial small subunit ribosomal RNA", at positions 1 to 729 of the family's 1533-position model. Lineage: Bacteria; Bacillati; Bacillota; Bacilli; Caryophanales; Staphylococcaceae. The record is from RNAcentral.
UGGAGAGUUUGAUCCUGGCUCAGGAUGAACGCUGGCGGCGUGCCUAAUACAUGCAAGUCGAGCGAACGGACGAGAAGCUUGCUUCUCUGAUGUUAGCGGCGGACGGGUGAGUAACACGUGGAUAACCUACCUAUAAGACUGGGAUAACUUCGGGAAACCGGAGCUAAUACCGGAUAAUAUUUUGAACCGCAUGGUUCAAAAGUGAAAGACGGUCUUGCUGUCACUUAUAGAUGGAUCCGCGCUGCAUUAGCUAGUUGGUAAGGUAACGGCUUACCAAGGCAACGAUGCAUAGCCGACCUGAGAGGGUGAUCGGCCACACUGGAACUGAGACACGGUCCAGACUCCUACGGGAGGCAGCAGUAGGGAAUCUUCCGCAAUGGGCGAAAGCCUGACGGAGCAACGCCGCGUGAGUGAUGAAGGUCUUCGGAUCGUAAAACUCUGUUAUUAGGGAAGAACAUAUGUGUAAGUAACUGUGCACAUCUUGACGGUACCUAAUCAGAAAGCCACGGCUAACUACGUGCCAGCAGCCGCGGUAAUACGUAGGUGGCAAGCGUUAUCCGGAAUUAUUGGGCGUAAAGCGCGCGUAGGCGGUUUUUUAAGUCUGAUGUGAAAGCCCACGGCUCAACCGUGGAGGGUCAUUGGAAACUGGAAAACUUGAGUGCAGAAGAGGAAAGUGGAAUUCCAUGUGUAGCGGUGAAAUGCGCAGAGAUAUGGAGGAACACCAGUGGCGAAGGCGACUUUC